ACAAAACAAAAUUUACCCUGAUUCCGCAUUUUAUAAAUGCGAGUCAACACCUCUCAAACAUCAAUUAACGUAAGUUACAUCACAAACUUCAAAAUGCCAAAACACAUCACAUGGUACAUUAGACAUACAAUACAAAGACAAGAGACACUUAUGCUUCAAGAGAAGCAACCGAUGACCUAUUAACCCCCAAUGGUACUCAGAGAAAGAAGCCUACCCAGAGUAUCCCAAAAACAAUUAAAUCCAACCAAACGAGAAAUGGAUUAAAGUAAAUAUUUGUACAAGGCAGAAACGACAAUACCUGCUCGCUAGACCAUUCACAACAAGCUCAUUAACAACAUUAGAUAUCAAUCUGUGCAUGAAAUUUCCUCCCGCCAUGGCUCUUUUAUUUGAUUAGUAUCACCUCUGUUAAAAAGAUGAACAGUGAAAAGAUUAUACGCGCAAAGUUCUGGAACCUACCCGAAUUUGCGAAAAUUGCGUGCAGAGAAAGCCAACCUUGAUCUUACUGUAAGAGGAGCGUCUUUUGGGUUGGAACGAUUUGAGGCUCAGAACCAAGGCGCAUUGGCUCAGUUCCUUAGUUCUUUGGACUAUGCAUUAAAACAACGCCAGUGAACCGAUAGCCAGGAUAAAUGGGCUGAAGUGGCCGAUAAUUAACAUACUUUUAAUAAUGGGUUGAGG
Molecule: unclassified non-coding RNA, 675 nt
Filed under: Hevea brasiliensis (rubber tree)
Lineage: Eukaryota; Viridiplantae; Streptophyta; Magnoliopsida; Malpighiales; Euphorbiaceae
Source: RNAcentral